GAACAUGAAAAUCCUUCACGGUCUUUAUUGUGGAGGAAGGCACAUCAAAACAAAAAUGGAGAAUACGAUGAUGAUGAUGUUAGGGAAAAGGCAGCACAUCUUGAGGAGUUUGAUAAGCAGCUGAAAGAUGGAACUUUGACGAAAAAACCAGGCACUGAGAGUUCCAUAUAUUGAUGUUAAUAUAAUAUAUCUGUUUGCAGUCUGGAAAAUGCAAACAAAAGUCUCUUGCAUCUGAGCGUCUGCCCCUUAAAUCUCCGGACGAAUCUCAACUAAAAGACCUGACAGAACUUUCAACGAUUGGCAAAUACAAAAUGGCUCAUGCUUCACUGAGAAACGUCAUUGUAAUGGGUAUUGUUAUUCCAUCGGAGCCAGGUCAGUUAGUACAUGGAGAUCCACUCAAGGAUAAUUGUGUCAGAGUGUCUGUUGAAAAAUCGAUAUUAAAGAAUCAUUAUUUGCCAGUCCCAUAUACUCAUCUCAAAACAGUAGAGGAUGCUAAAGGAUCUGUUGUAUCUUGUCCCAAAGAGUUUGUGAUUUGUUUCUCUACUGGCCUGCCACUUUCAGACCCUGAUGAACAUGAUGCUGACCCACACGCUAAGAAGAGAAAGAAGAAGAAACCUUCAUAUACAACGAGCGGGGAG
Long non-coding RNA from Papaver somniferum (opium poppy), 638 nucleotides. RefSeq lists it as uncharacterized. The transcript is spliced from 4 exons. Lineage: Eukaryota; Viridiplantae; Streptophyta; Magnoliopsida; Ranunculales; Papaveraceae. The record is from RefSeq and is a predicted model, not a curated record.